This 429-nucleotide ribosomal RNA is filed under the name Bacteroidota bacterium. Its description in RNAcentral is "Bacteroidetes bacterium partial 16S ribosomal RNA". It matches the Rfam family "Bacterial small subunit ribosomal RNA", at positions 355 to 776 of the family's 1533-position model. Lineage: Bacteria; Pseudomonadati; Bacteroidota. The record is from RNAcentral.
UAGGGAAUCUUCCGCAAUGGACGCAAGUCUGACGGAGCAACGCCGCGUGAGUGAAGAAGGAUUUCGGUUCGUAAAACUCUGUUGUUAGAGAAGAACAGCGCAUAGAGUAACUGUUAUGCGUGUAACGGUAUCUAACCAGAAAGCCACGGCUAACUACGUGCCAGCAGCCGCGGUAAUACGUAGGUGGCAAGCGUUGUCCGGAUUUAUUGGGCGUAAAGCGAGCGCAGGCGGUCAAUUAAGUCUGAUGUGAAAGCCCCCGGCUCAACCGGGGAGGGUCAUUGGAAACUGGUUGACUUGAGUGCAGAAGAGGAGAGUGGAAUUCCAUGUGUAGCGGUGAAAUGCGUAGAUAUAUGGAGGAACACCGGUGGCGAAAGCGGCUCUCUGGUCUGUAACUGACGCUGAGGCUCGAAAGCGUGGGGAGCGAACAGG